CGCGUGGGAAUGUACCCUUUAUUACGGAAUAACCCCGGGAAACUGGGAUUAAUACCGUAUACGCCCCUUUUCAGAAGCCUGAAUUCAGAAAUCAGAAGUCAGAAAUGUUGCAUCACGCAUAGCGUGAUGACGUGUUUCAUAUUUCACACUUCUGGUUUCAGUUUUCUGUAUGGGGGAAAGAUUUAUCGCUAAAGGAUCAGCCCGCGUAAGAUUAGGUAGUUGGUGGGGUAAUGGCCUACCAAGCCUAGGAUCUUUAGCUGGUCUGAGAGGAUGAUCAGCCACACUGGAACUGAGACACGGUCCAGACUCCUACGGGAGGCAGCAGUGGGGAAUAUUGGACAAUGGGCGAAAGCCUGAUCCAGCCAUGCCGCGUGAGUGAUAAGGCCUUCUGGUUGUAAAACUCUUUCGUCUGUGAAGAUAAUGACGGUAACCGAAAAAGAAGCCCCGGCUAACUUCGUGCCAGCAGCCGCGGUAAUACGAAGGGGGCUACCGUUGUUCGGAAUCACUGGGCGUAAAGCGCGCGUAUGCGGACUGACAAGUCUUGGGUGAAAGCCCAAGGCUCAACCUUGGAACUGCCUUUGAAACUGUCAGUCUGGAGUCUCGGAGGGGAUGGCGGAAUUUCUAGUGUAGGGGUGAAAUCCGUAGAUACUAUGAAGAACACCGGUGGCUAAGGCUGCCAGCUGGACAAGUACUGACGCCUAGGCGCGAAAGCUUGGGGAGCAAACAGGAUUAGAUACCCUGGUAGUCC
Molecule: ribosomal RNA, 748 nt
Filed under: uncultured bacterium
Lineage: Bacteria
Description: bacterial SSU rRNA
Rfam family: Bacterial small subunit ribosomal RNA
Source: RNAcentral